Molecule: non-coding RNA, 29 nt
Filed under: Mus musculus (house mouse)
Lineage: Eukaryota; Metazoa; Chordata; Mammalia; Rodentia; Muridae
Source: RNAcentral
UAGACCCAGUAUGGCCCAUACAUUCAGCU